RNAcentral lists this ribosomal RNA (254 nucleotides) under uncultured bacterium. Its description in RNAcentral is "partial 16S ribosomal RNA". It matches the Rfam family "Bacterial small subunit ribosomal RNA", at positions 524 to 776 of the family's 1533-position model. The record is from RNAcentral.
UACGGGGGGGGGCAAGCGUUGUUCGGAAUUACUGGGCGUAAAGGGCUCGUAGGCGGCCAACUAAGUCAUACGUGAAAUCCCUCGGCUUAACCGGGGAACUGCGUCUGAUACUGGAUGGCUUGAGUUCGGGAGAGGGAUGCGGAAUUCCAGGUGUAGCGGUGAAAUGCGUAGAUAUCUGGAGGAACACCGGUGGCGAAGGCGGCGACCUGGUCCGAUACUGACGCUGAGGCGCGAAAGCGUGGGGAGCAAACAGG